AGCAAUGAGAAAAUCCUAUUUCACUCUUCGACUUACAAGACCGAUAUUUAAACUUAAACUUUCAUUGC
This 68-nucleotide transfer RNA is filed under the name Nerita reticulata. RNAcentral's name for it is "tRNA-Thr". Lineage: Eukaryota; Metazoa; Mollusca; Gastropoda; Cycloneritida; Neritidae. The record is from RNAcentral.